UGAAGGAGAAGGUAGAAGCUUGCUUUUACUGGAGACUGGCGGACGGGUGAGUAACCCGUAGAUAACCUGCCUAUAGCUGGGGGAUAACACUGCCAAAGUGGUGCUUAUACCGCAUAAUGCAGCGGGGCCCCAUGGCCAUAGUUGUUAAAGGUUUCCGCCGGCUAUAGAUGGGUCUGCCUGCUAUUAGUUAGUUGGUAGGGUAACGGCCUACCAAGGCGAUGAUAGCUAGGGGGUCUGAGAGGAUGAUCCCCCACACUGGGACUGAGACCCGGCCCAGACUCCUACGGGAGGCAACAGUGAGGAAUCUUGCGCAAUGGGCGAAAGCCUGACGCAGCCACGCCCCGUGCCGGAUGAAGGCCCCAUGGGUUGUAAACGGCUUUUACUAGGGAAGAACGAGAGGGUUUCGAUCUUCUGUGACGGUACCUAGUGAAUAAGCACCGGCUAACUCCGUGCCAGCAGCCGCGGUAAUACGGAGGGUGCAAGCGUUGUCCGGAAUCAUUGGGUGUAAAGGGUACGUAGGCGGGAGCCUAAGUCUGGGGUGAAAUCUUGCCGCUUAACGGUAAAAUGGCCUUGGAUACUGGGUUUCUUGAGUGCAGAAGAGGCCGGUGGAAUUCGUGGUGUAGCGGUGAAAUGCUUAGAUAUCACGAAGAACAUCAGUGGCGAAGGCGGCCUGCUGGUCUGCAACUGACGCUGAGGUACGAAAGCGUGGGGAGCGAACAGGAUUAGAUACCCUGGUAG
RNAcentral lists this ribosomal RNA (738 nucleotides) under uncultured marine bacterium. RNAcentral describes it as "bacterial SSU rRNA". It matches the Rfam family "Bacterial small subunit ribosomal RNA", at positions 63 to 793 of the family's 1533-position model. The record is from RNAcentral.